RNAcentral lists this long non-coding RNA (981 nucleotides) under Homo sapiens (human). RNAcentral's name for it is "HSALNT0283619". The record is from RNAcentral. Lineage: Eukaryota; Metazoa; Chordata; Mammalia; Primates; Hominidae.
GCCGCUCGGUCGUGGGCUAGCGCGCAGUCUCUUUGGUUCCCCCUGUGGCUGCUGCGGGGCUGCGGGGCUGCGGGGCUGCGGGGCUGCGGGGCUGCGGGGCUGCGGGGCUGCGGGGCUGCGGGGCUGCGGGGCUGCCGGGCUGCGGGCGGUGGGAGAUGACGGGGGUGGGAGCAGGAGCGGGAGCAGGGGCGGGAGCGGGAGCGGGAGUGGGAGUGCUCAGUCUCUCGGGUCGCCUGGAUAUUUAUGAAAAGGACGCCAGGGAAAGGGCUCCGCUGUAGACCGAAGGGAUAAGGGUUCGAUUCAGAAGGGAGCGUUAUUUUUAUCCCCUCUCCACAUAAUGGAACGUUUAAAUGGUUAAAUCAAGUACCUUGCAGGAGAGGGUGGGGUGGCCUUGAGAAUACACUCAAGGCCUCAGUACAUGCAGUCUGGAAGUGGGGGAAUCAAGAGCACCCUGUCUCUAGUACUGUCCUCAAUGAUAAGGCGCUGAGGUUCCCAACCUGGACCAAGAAGUACAUAUUCAGGUUCAAAGGAUAAACCAAAACAAAACCUGAGCUCUCUCUCUAGAAUGAAGUGCCUGGUCCCAGUUCACCAUCUAAUAUUUAUGGAAAGCUUAUCAGAGAACAGAAGUGUCAGCAGAGGACUGUAAGUGCUAUGUGAUUGGACGACGGUGGCCAUAGAAUUUCACCUGCCCAGCACGUAUUCUCUCAUCCUCUCCUCCUCUGCCUUCUUUGGGAGGGAGAAAUCAGAAGGAGUGGGGAUGCAGUUCAGAGAGCAGAGGAGAAGAGAAGAAAAGAAGGAAGAAGGAAGAGGACUAGGGUUGGGUGGGGGGGGAGGACACCAAUGGGAAGAGGGACAGAUCAACUCUAUACACAAAAGUAAAUCAAAACACCAAAAACAGGGGUCUAUGUAAAGAAGCCUCUUCCCGUGAAUUGCUCGUUGCAUAGCUGCAGGGAGGGUGUUUAGGGGCAUAGAGAAUGAAAA